UAGGUCGACCCGCUGAAUUUAAGCAUAUCACUAAGCGGAGGAAAAGAAACUAACCAGGAUUCCCCUAGUAACGGCGAGUGAAGAGGGAAUAGCCCAGCACCGAAGCCUGCGGUAGUUUUACUGCUAGGCAAUGUGGUGUUUGGGUCGGCUCGCGGGAUUGCCACUCCACUCGAAGUCCAGCACUGAGUAUGGUUCCCUGGAUUUGGCCCAGAGAGGGUGAAAGGCCCGUGCGAGUGGAGGUUCAGACAUGUGAGGCAAUUCACCAGGUCGACCUUCGAGUCGGGUUGUUUGGGAAUGCAGCCCAAAGUGGGUGGUAAACUCCAUCCAAGGCUAAAUACAAGCACGAGUCCGAUAGCGAACAAGUACCGUGAGGGAAAGUUGAAAAGUACUUUGAAGAGAGAGUAAACAGUACGUGAAACCGCAUAGAGGUAAACGGGUGGCGUCAAGCUGCAAGCCUAGAGGAUUCAGUUGGUCGGUGUGUAUGCGCGCCUGGCGCGUCCGUCGGACAGAUAGUCCACUGCGAAAAGGUGGGCCUUGCCUUCUUUCGGGAGGGUGAGGAUCGGUGUCCCGGGAGGUUGCCGGAGCCGGCUGUUUUGUCUGAUUUGGAUGGAUCGGCCAAUGCACUUCCUCUAUUUGGUGAGCACCACGACUGGUGGAACUGCCAGUCUGCCGUAGUCAAGUCGAGUUUGGUGGAUGGCUCCUCUCGGGGGGUUGUCGGCUGAGCUUCGAUCAUCACAGGCGAAGUCAGUGAGCGGCGCGUGUAAGUCUCGGCUUGCACACGUGUUAUCGAGCACUGGUCGUGAACGGGUCUGUCUGUCGGUGGUGUAGUGACCGGCGGAUGUCCUGGUGGGCUACGGUGGUAUGAAUAACUGUGCAGGGCACCAGGGUUGUCGGUCUCUAGUUUCCGGCUCGUGCGCACACUGCAUGUGGGCGUGGGGUUGUCACUGUAGGCUGCCAAUUGCUGGGUCUGAUCGUCGUGUUGCCUGCGCAAAGUGGGUCCGGCGGUGGUCUAGUGUUGGAUGGUCUUGCAUGUGAUGCUUCCUGUGCGAGUCGGCGUGGACCAAACAGUCUGUGGUGUUGUGGUAGACGAGCUACCCGACCCGUCUUGAAACACGGACCAAGGAGUUUAUCAUGCACGCGAGUCAAUGGGUCCAUCGAAACCCAAAGGCGCAGUGAAAGUGAAGUCUCGACUUGUUCUCGAGAUGUGGUGAGAUGCCACUGUUUCUCGCACCUCGCCUAGCACUAGGCACAAGAGCAGUGGCCGCAUCACCGGCCCGUCCCAUGAUGUGGUCGUUGGAAAGGCGUGGAUUUCGGUCUGCGUUGGAGCCGGCGCGUCAUCGGGGCGGAGCAGGAGCGUGCACGAUAAGACCCGAAAGAUGGUGAACUAUGCUUGCGUAGGUUGAAGCCAGAGGAAACUCUGGUGGAGGACCGCAGCGAUUCUGACGUGCAAAUCGAUCGUCAAACGUGAGUAUAGGGGCGAAAGACUAAUCGAACCAUCUAGUAGCUGGUUCCCUCCGAAGUUUCCCUCAGGAUAGC
This 1536-nucleotide ribosomal RNA is filed under the name Adenocephalus pacificus. Its description in RNAcentral is "LSU rRNA". It matches the Rfam family "Eukaryotic large subunit ribosomal RNA", at positions 16 to 982 of the family's 3401-position model. The record is from RNAcentral. Lineage: Eukaryota; Metazoa; Platyhelminthes; Cestoda; Diphyllobothriidea; Diphyllobothriidae.